RNAcentral lists this ribosomal RNA (384 nucleotides) under Triticum aestivum (bread wheat). RNAcentral's name for it is "partial small subunit ribosomal RNA". Lineage: Eukaryota; Viridiplantae; Streptophyta; Magnoliopsida; Poales; Poaceae. The record is from RNAcentral.
AUGCCAGAACAGAUGUACCGAGGAUUCUAUUUGCCUAAUGCACACUUGACAAAAGUAGUUGUUCUGCCAGCCACGUCAUUGCAUCACAAUCUGUCGAGGUGGAGUAGCCAGGUGAAAAUUUUCAGCUGCCCAAGUGUCCCAGAACAAACUUUUGAAGGUCGUCUUGCAGGAACCAUUGAACUGAGCCCUAUAAGCCGAUGUUGUUGUGUAUUGCCCGCUGGCCUCAAGAUUCCAUCUGAUCUCAUCUUGCACCCCCUGCCUAAGGUUGCCCACUGCCCCUCUAAUUUUUCUAGCCAUCAUCAGGAAGUCAUUUUGAUCAAAAAGAAAAAAACAUCAGGAAUUCAUGAAGAAAGUAUGAUGUGUUUCCAUGGGCAAGAUCAUUAA